GUAGGUGGCAAGCGUUGUCCGGAAUUAUUGGGCGUAAAGCGCGCGCAGGCGGUCCUUUAAGUCUGAUGUGAAAGCCCACGGCUCAACCGUGAGGGUCAUUGGAAACUGGGGACUUGGAGUACAGAAGAGGAAAGCGGAAUUCCAAGUGUAGCGGUGAAAUGCGUAGAGAUUUGGAGGAACACCAGUGGCGAAGGCGGCUUUCUGGUCUGUAACUGACGCUGAGGCGCGAAAGCGUGGGGAGCAAACAGGAUUAGAUACCCUGGUAGUCCACGCCGUAAACGAUGAGUGCUAAGUGUUAGGGGGUUUCCCGCCCCCCUUAGUGCUGCAGCUAACGCAUUAAGCACUCCGCCUGGGGGAGUAGGCCCGCAAGGCUG
RNAcentral lists this ribosomal RNA (374 nucleotides) under uncultured organism. RNAcentral's name for it is "partial 16S ribosomal RNA". It matches the Rfam family "Bacterial small subunit ribosomal RNA", at positions 527 to 896 of the family's 1533-position model. The record is from RNAcentral.